Perca flavescens (yellow perch) is the source of this 459-nucleotide long non-coding RNA. RefSeq lists it as uncharacterized. The record is from RefSeq and is a predicted model, not a curated record. Lineage: Eukaryota; Metazoa; Chordata; Actinopteri; Perciformes; Percidae. The transcript is spliced from 3 exons.
UGUGUCCACGUUCGGACACCACUUGCUGCUAUUGGCCAUAUCCGGACACUUCCGACGUCACGCGCUUUCCGGUCUUUUCGCGGUACUUUGAAUUUUCAAUCGCCCAAAAAUAUAAAGAAAGUGAGUCAGAAAAGAAUAAGGAAUAAGAGAGACAGAAGCAGAGAAGAUAAAAAAGAGGAACAGUAGAAAACAAGGUAGGCAGUGUGUAUGUGUGUGUGUGUGUCUCUCUCUCUGUGUGUGUGUGAGUGUGUGUGUGUGUGUGUGUGUGUGAGUGUGAGAGAAUUGUAUUUCCUUUACAGGAGCAUCAAGCCCAAAGAAAAAGUGGAUAUAGAAAUUGCCACUUUGGUUGAAGAUGCCCAACAUCAGGCAGAUGAGGAAGAGGGAGAGGAAGACCAAAAAAUGGACCCAAGAGGCAAUGGACCAGGCCAAGCAGGAGGUGGAAGCAGGCAGGCUCUCUCU